This is a long non-coding RNA of Cydia fagiglandana, 306 nucleotides long. RefSeq lists it as uncharacterized. Lineage: Eukaryota; Metazoa; Arthropoda; Insecta; Lepidoptera; Tortricidae. The record is from RefSeq and is a predicted model, not a curated record. The transcript has 3 exons.
GCUGAAAACGAUAGUCCUCUUCGUCGCCAUUGGUCUGGCCGCCGCCGCGCCAUCGCAGCGCGAAAAGAGGUCUCCAGGUGGGAGUGGAUGGCAGAGCGGAGGUGGCUACGGUAGCAGCGGUUUCAGCGGCGGCUUCGGCGGCGGUAGCUUCGGCGGGGAUUUCGGUGGUCUGCCGUCGGUCGGCGUCGCUCGCUCUGCUUUCGGUGGUGGGAGCGGCGGCUGGGGUGGAUCUGGUGGACUCGGCAGAUCCAGCGGCGGCUUUAGCUCUGGUGGCUGGGGCGGGUCUGGUGGUAGCGCGAGGAGUGG